AGGAGGAACAGCCCCAGUGGCGGGGCAGCUCUGGAAACCUGGAUUCAGCUCCGGCAGGAACUACUCCGUCUGCAGGGCCUGGAGGCUCCCGGGCGGG
Molecule: microRNA precursor, 97 nt
Filed under: Canis lupus familiaris (dog)
Lineage: Eukaryota; Metazoa; Chordata; Mammalia; Carnivora; Canidae
Description: mir-8834 microRNA precursor family
Rfam family: mir-8834 microRNA precursor family
Source: Rfam by way of RNAcentral